UAAUACAGAGGUCUCAAGCGUUGUUCGGAUUCAUUGGGCGUAAAGGGUGCGUAGGUGGCGGGGUAAGUCAGGUGUGAAAUUUCGGAGCUUAACUCCGAAACUGCAUUUGAUACUGCCUUGCUUGAGGACUGGAGAGGAGACUGGAAUUCACGGUGUAGCAGUGAAAUGCGUAGAGAUCGUGAGGAAGACCAGUGGCGAAGGCGGGUCUCUGGACAGUUCCUGACACUGAGGCACGAAGGCCAGGGGAGCAAACGGGAUUAGAUACCCCGGUAGUCCUGGCAGUAAACGGUGCACGUUUGGUGUGGGGGGAUUCGACCCCUUCCGCGCCGGAGCUAACGCGUUAAACGUGCCGCCUGGGGAGUACGGUCGCAAGAUUA
This 377-nucleotide ribosomal RNA is filed under the name uncultured bacterium. RNAcentral's name for it is "bacterial SSU rRNA". It matches the Rfam family "Bacterial small subunit ribosomal RNA", at positions 521 to 896 of the family's 1533-position model. The record is from RNAcentral.